RNAcentral lists this ribosomal RNA (479 nucleotides) under uncultured bacterium. RNAcentral's name for it is "partial 16S ribosomal RNA". It matches the Rfam family "Bacterial small subunit ribosomal RNA", at positions 28 to 523 of the family's 1533-position model. The record is from RNAcentral.
GACGAACGCUGGCGGCGUGCUUAACACAUGCAAGUCGAACGGUAAGGCCCUUCGGGGUACACGAGUGGCGAACGGGUGAGUAACACGUGGGUGAUCUGCCCUGCACUUCGGGAUAAGCCUGGGAAACUGGGUCUAAUACCGGAUAGGACCCUGGGAUGCAUGUCCUGGGGUGGAAAGCUUUUGCGGUGUGGGAUGGGCCCGCGGCCUAUCAGCUUGUUGGUGGGGAGAUGGUCUACCAAGGCGACGACGGGUAGCCGGCCUGAGAGGGUGAGCCGGCCAGCGUGGGACUGAGAUACGGCCCAGACUCCUACGGGAGGCAGCAGUGGGGAAUAUUGCACAAUGGGCGCAAGCCUGAUGUAGCGACGCCGCGUGAGGGAUGACGGCCUUCGGGUUGUAAACCUCUUUCAGCACCGACGAAGCGCAAGUGACGGUAGGUGCAGAAGAAGGACCGGCCAACUACGUGCCAGCCGCCGCCGUAA